RNAcentral lists this long non-coding RNA (1407 nucleotides) under Ailuropoda melanoleuca (giant panda). RNAcentral describes it as "lncRNA (ENSAMEG00000024575.1)". Lineage: Eukaryota; Metazoa; Chordata; Mammalia; Carnivora; Ursidae. The record is from RNAcentral.
AAUUCUUUAGUAAUUUGGUAUUAGAAAACUAUUUUAUGUAAAAUAUAGAAUAACAUAAAUAAAUAUAAUAAUACAUAAUAUGUUAAUAUUUUUAGAACCAAGAUUUUCAAUAUAAAAAGAAAGAAAGGUGUAAGUAUAAAACCAAAUAAUUUAAUUAAAAAUUAUGUAAUGCUAUAUUUUAAUUGGAACUAUUACGUCUGAAGAGCCAAAGAAACACGUUCUCCCAAAUUUUGUCCACAGCAAAGCCUAGAAGUAAAAACAAUCUUGGUAAAUUGCAUUAUUUGUUCAAACCAUUAUCUGUCUCUUUCUACUAGAUCCAUUCCUGCAGGACCCCUGUCAGGCACCCCUUCCUAUGGGAGAAGCAAACUUUCCAGGAAGAGCAGUAUCACAGCUUGGAGAAAUGCUUACCUAAUGUGUAAGCAGGUGCUGCUCUGGAUGCCAGUCUAAAGACCCGAUUCAUUAAGUUCUGCCACGCCAGUACUGCACUCUAUGUGACGAGAAAACCAAGAAGAAACAGGCUGGAAUAAAUGUUUUUGAAAAAACCCUUUCUAUAUUACUGGAGAUGAGGGCAGGGAAGGAGACCAUUGCUGAGAGUGAGGACCUGGCUGAUGCAUCUUUUGCUGAAGAAAGCUCCAGAAUGUAUGCCUGGGUAACUUUGGAUAAUUUGGAAAAUGUAGCCCAAUUCAUGGGCUGGAAACUGAUCAAUCUAUCAAGAUUCCUCCUCCUUGGGGAGGAAGUCAGUGAGGAGAGGAUCAUUGAGAAGCUUUGAGAUAUUUCCCCUGGGAGUCAUUGUCUAGCUUGCGAUCUCCAAUGCAUGAGCACUCCCAGCAUGGAUGUUUCUUGUGGUGAUGUCAGAAGACGGGACUUUGUGAGGAACCCCAGUCUUUUUUCCUCUUAUCAACAGCAGUAUCAAGGUGAGAGGCUCUCACUCGAGCAAGCAGCAAGAUGUCAAGAAGAUACCUCCCUAUCUUAGGGACCCUGGUCAAGAGAGGAGGAAAUUGGCAAAUAUGGGAAGAUAAGGGAGUACUGGACACACACAACUCACCCUAGGAACACUUUAGCCAGAUUGAACAACAAUUUAAAGGAAACCCAAGGUCUUGAAGCAGCAGACAAGGAUUAAAACCAGGGUUACAGGAAUUAUACUUAAUUUGAAUAAUCCUUGGUAGACAUAAAAGUGUUUAUCUGCUCAUAAAUAUAUUUGAAUUUCAUGAAUCUCACACUUGAAAACAAACUCGGUAAAUACACUUUCAAAUACUUACUCCUCAGUUCAACACAGGCACAUUAAUCAAGACAUUAUCCUUGGAAUGAGAAAUGCAGCACAAACUUGGUGCUUCCUUCUUCCCUUCAGAUUUAGUUGGAAUCCAGUCCUCCUUCCUAAGAUGGUAAUUUGAAUUUAUGUUUUCCAAU